RNAcentral lists this ribosomal RNA (700 nucleotides) under Leucolejeunea environmental sample. RNAcentral describes it as "SSU rRNA". It matches the Rfam family "Eukaryotic small subunit ribosomal RNA", at positions 586 to 1289 of the family's 1831-position model. The record is from RNAcentral. Lineage: Eukaryota; Viridiplantae; Streptophyta; Jungermanniopsida; Porellales; Lejeuneaceae.
CAGCUCCNAAUAGCGUAUAUUUAAGUUGUUGCAGUUAAAAAGCUCGUAGUUGGACUUUGGGAUGGGGCGAGCGGUCCGCCUCUUGGGUGUGCACUGAUCUCUCCAUCCUUUCGGUCGGGGACGCGCUCCUGGACUUAAUUGGCUGGGACGCGGAGUCGACGAUGUUACUUUGAAAAAAUUAGAGUGCUCAAAGCAGGCCUAUGCUCUGAAUACAUUAGCAUGGAAUAACACGAUAGGACUCUGGUCCUAUUUUGUUGGUCUUCGGGACCGGAGUAAUGAUUAAUAGGGACAGUUGGGGGCAUUCGUAUUUCAUUGUCAGAGGUGAAAUUCUUGGAUUUAUGAAAGACGAACUUCUGCGAAAGCAUUUGCCAAGGAUGUUUUCAUUGAUCAAGAACGAAAGUUGGGGGCUCGAAGACGAUCAGAUACCGUCCUAGUCUCAACCAUAAACGAUGCCGACUAGGGAUUGGCGGAUGUUAAUUUGAUGACUCCGCCAGCACCUUAUGAGAAAUCAAAGUUUUUGGGUUCCGGGGGGAGUAUGGUCGCAAGGCUGAAACUUAAAGGAAUUGACGGAAGGGCACCACCAGGUGUGGAGCCUGCGGCUUAAUUUGACUCAACACGGGGAAACUUACCAGGUCCAGACAUAGUAAGGAUUGACAGAUUGAGAGCUCUUUCUUGAUUCUAUGGGUGGUGGUGCAUGGCG